UAGGGAAUCUUCCGCAAUGGACGAAAGUCUGACGGAGCAACGCCGCGUGAGUGAAGAAGGAUUUCGGUUCGUAAAACUCUGUUGUUAGGGAAGAAAAAAUGUAUAGUAACUAUAUACAAAAGAGACGGUACCUAACCAGAAAGCCACGGCUAACUACGUGCCAGCAGCCGCGGUAAUACGUAGGUGGCAAGCGUUGUCCGGAAUUAUUGGGCGUAAAGCGCGCGCAGGUGGUUUAGAAAGUCUGAUGUGAAAGCCCACGGCUCAACCGUGGAGGGUCAUUGGAAACUAAUAAACUUGAGUGCAGGAGAGAAAAGUGGAAUUCCUAGUGUAGCGGUGAAAUGCGUAGAGAUUAGGAGGAACACCGGUGGCGAAAGCGGCUUUCUGGCCUGCAACUGACACUGAGGCGCGAAAGCGUGGGGAGCAAACAGG
RNAcentral lists this ribosomal RNA (429 nucleotides) under Verrucomicrobiota bacterium. Its description in RNAcentral is "Verrucomicrobia bacterium partial 16S ribosomal RNA". It matches the Rfam family "Bacterial small subunit ribosomal RNA", at positions 355 to 776 of the family's 1533-position model. The record is from RNAcentral. Lineage: Bacteria; Pseudomonadati; Verrucomicrobiota.